RNAcentral lists this ribosomal RNA (1307 nucleotides) under metagenome. RNAcentral describes it as "SSU rRNA". It matches the Rfam family "Eukaryotic small subunit ribosomal RNA", at positions 483 to 1783 of the family's 1831-position model. The record is from RNAcentral.
AUACCGGGCCUUUUUGGGCUUGGUAAUUGGAAUGAGGGAGAGUUAAACGGACCAUCGAGUAUCCAUUGGAGGGCAAGUCUGGUGCCAGCAGCUGCGGUAAUACCAGCUCCAAUAGCGUAUAUUAAUGUUGUUGCAGUUAAAAAGCUCGUAGUUGGACUUGUGUGCGCUGUCCGCGGGUGGCCUGCGCCCAAAAGGGCGUUUCGGUUCGGCCCCGGUGGCGCCUUGAAAUCUGCAGCUGGGGGGACGUAGGCCUUAACUGGUCGGCGACCGCACGCCGGCUGCUCGGUUACUGUGAGAAAAUUAGAGUGUUCAAGGCAGGCAUUGGGUGCAAUUGAAUACAUUAGCAUGGAAUAAUAAAAUAUGGCUCCUGCCGUAUUUUGUUGGUUUUGACUGGUGGGAGUAAUGAUUGAUAGGGACGGUUGGGGGUGCUAGUAUUGAGCGGCCAGAGGUGAAAUUCAUGGAUUCGCUCAAGACUAACUUAUGCGAAAGCAUUCACCAAGGACGUCCUCUUUAAUCAAGAACGAAAGUUGGGGGAUCGAAGACGAUCAGAUACCGUCGUAGUCUCAACCAUAAACUAUGUCGACUUGGGAUCGGCGGUAGUUUUUUCAUUAAGACACUGUCGGGACCACGGGAGAAAUCAAAGUGUCUGGACUCUGGGGGAAGUAUGGUCGCAAGGCUGAAACUUGAAGGAAUUGACGGAAGGGCACCACCAGGAGUGGAGCCUGCGGCUUAAUUUGACCCAACACGGGGAAACUUACCAGGUCCAGAGAUGUAGAGGAUUGACAGAUUGAAGCUCUUUCUUGAUCACUUCGGUGGUGGUGCAUGGCCGUUCUUAGUUGGUGGAGUGAUUUGUCUGGUUAAUUCCGUUAACGAACGAGACCUCAGCCUGCUAGUGUAGUCGGCUGGAUUGCCUUUGGCGAUCCGUGAUUUCGACUUCUUAGAGGGACAAUCGACGCGCAGUCGAUGGAAGUUUGAGGCAAUAACAGGUCUGUGAUGCCCUUAGAUGUUCUGGGCCGCACGCGCGCUACACUGCUGGGCUCAGCGAGUUUUACUUGGCCGAGAGGCCCGGUUAAUCUUGUGAAAUCCCAGCGUGCUUGGGCUCGCCUCCUGCAACUGGAGGCGCCAACGAGGAAUUCCUAGUAGACGCAGGUCAUCAACCUGCAUCGAUUACGUCCCUGCCCUUUGUACACACCGCCCGUCGUUCCAUAAGAGUGAGGCAUCCGGUGAAUUCUCGGGAGAGCCUGGGCGUGGCCAGCAAUGGUCUGCUCGGGUUUGAACUUGCAUAAACUUGGUGCCUAUGAUUAGGG